CCUACGGGCGGCAGCAGUGGGGAAUAUUGCACAAUGGGGGAAACCCUGAUGCAGCGACGCCGCGUGAGUGAAGAAGUAUUUCGGUACGUAAAGCUCUAUCAGCAAGGAAGAAAAUGACGGUACCUGACUAAGAAGCCCCGGCUAACUACGUGCCAGCAGCCGCGGUAAUACGUAGGGGGCAAGCGUUAUCCGGAUUUACUGGGUGUAAAGGGAGCGUAGACGGCAGCGCAAGUCUGGAGUGAAAUCCCAUGGCUUAACCAUGGAACUGCUUUGGAAACUGUGCAGCUAGAGUGCAGGAGAGGUAAGCGGAAUUCCUAGUGUAGCGGUGAAAUGCGUAGAUAUUAGGAGGAACACCAGUGGCGAAGGCGGCUUACUGGACUGUAACUGACGUUGAGGCUCGAAAGCGUGGGGAGCAAACAGGAUUAGAUACCCCAGUAGUC
RNAcentral lists this ribosomal RNA (440 nucleotides) under uncultured bacterium. RNAcentral describes it as "partial 16S ribosomal RNA". It matches the Rfam family "Bacterial small subunit ribosomal RNA", at positions 338 to 795 of the family's 1533-position model. The record is from RNAcentral.